RNAcentral lists this ribosomal RNA (253 nucleotides) under uncultured bacterium. Its description in RNAcentral is "partial 16S ribosomal RNA". It matches the Rfam family "Bacterial small subunit ribosomal RNA", at positions 524 to 776 of the family's 1533-position model. The record is from RNAcentral.
UACGUAGGGAGCGAGCGUUAUCCGGAUUUAUUGGGUGUAAAGGGUGCGUAGACGGGAAGUUAAGUUAGUUGUGAAAUCCCUCGGCUCAACUGAGGAACUGCAACUAAAACUGAUUUUCUUGAGUGUUGGAGAGGAAAGUGGAAUUCCUAGUGUAGCGGUGAAAUGCGUAGAUAUUAGGAGGAACACCAGUGGCGAAGGCGACUUUCUGGACAAUAACUGACGUUGAGGCACGAAAGUGUGGGGAGCAAACAGG